RNAcentral lists this long non-coding RNA (361 nucleotides) under Homo sapiens (human). RNAcentral's name for it is "non-protein coding lnc-OAZ3-11:1". The record is from RNAcentral. Lineage: Eukaryota; Metazoa; Chordata; Mammalia; Primates; Hominidae.
CCUCGCUCCCUCUCGGCGCCUCCUCUGCCUGGGCUCCCACUUUGGCGGCACUUCAGGAGCCCUUCAGCCCACUGCUGCACUGUGGGAGCGCCUUUCUGGGCUGGCCAAGGCCAGAGCCGGCUCCCUCAGCUUGCAGGAAGGUGUGGAGGGAGAGGCGCGAGCAGGAACCAGGGCUGCGCGGGGUGCUUGUGGACCAGCUGGAGUUCCAGGUGGGUGUGGGCUUGGCGGGCCCUGCACUCGGAGCAGCCAGCCGGCCCUGCCGGCCCCACGCAAUGAGGGGCUUAGCACCCGGGCCAGUGGCUGCAGAGGGUGUACUGGGUCCCCCAGCAGUGCCGGCCCACUGGCGCUGCGCUCGAUUUCU